Molecule: RNA transcript, 2678 nt
Organism: Nicotiana attenuata
Lineage: Eukaryota; Viridiplantae; Streptophyta; Magnoliopsida; Solanales; Solanaceae
Exons: 8
Source: RefSeq, a predicted model, not a curated record
UAAAUUUAAAGCGGUCAUUAACCUCCACAACCCUUAAAAAAAUAACGCCCACUAACCCCAAUGUUUCCCUCAUUUUUAAUCCAUUCCCUCUCUUUUUUUUCGCAAACCCCUUUCUCAUUUUCAGCUACCCCUCUCUCCCCCAUUCUCAGAAAUCCUUUGAUUUUCCCAUCUAGCCAUUCACAAUAGUCGGUCCUCCACAAUUACCCUUUCAUUUCAGCAUCUCUCAACGAAAUCAAGACAAUGGUCCUCCACAGGCUGUAUACUUAAUUUUAUACGCUGCCUUUGAAUUAAAUUCAGCCGGCAAACAAAAUCAAUUUUAUACGCUGCCUUCAUAUUUUGAAAUAGUAAAAUCAAUUGCAUUUAGUAAAACAAAAACCUUCACAGCUCAUCAAGAUUGCAAAAGAAAACUUUAGAUCUAUCUAUCAAUUGGAUGUUAUAGUAAACACUCUUGCUUGGGGAAAUCCUUAUCGGUUGAUCAGUUCUGAAAGGUUAUAUCAAUACCUUCCAAUGGAUAAAUCUUGGAUUUGAAUGCCUAGAAAUACAACAAAGUAUUUACUUGGUUUGAAUCAAUUUCUAAAUUUUGCAUUUAAGAAUGCUUCUAUAGGAGAUAGAAUAAAAUGUCCCGUGACCUAAAUGUGGUUUUGGGAAGUGGCAGACUAGAGAGAUAGUGUACGAUCAUUUGAUUAGCAAGUUAUUCCCUCAAAAUUAUGUCACUUGGAUUCUUCAUGGGGAAACACAAGUGUUGAAGAACUCUAGAAGCACAGAGGUUGUCCCAGAUGCACUGCCUCCUAAAAAUCCUAUGGAAUUAUAGAUAAAUGAAGCAUCCCCAGGUUUAAGGCAUGAGGGCAUUGAUGCAGGUUCGUCACAAGUAGUUGGAGAAGAAGAAAUAUUAAAUGAUCUGCCUUCUUCAAAUAACAAAGAAUUUUUUGAGUUGCUUAGAGAUGGAAGUGAAGAAUUAUACGAAGGGUCCAAGUACUCGAAGCUAGAAUUUUUGUUAAAGUUGUAUCACAUAAAGUGUUUUCCUAGGCUAAGUGACAAGGGAAUGACUAUGAUGCUACGAGAACUUCCAGAACUCAAUUCAGUCAGCAUCUACCUCACAAGGUGUAGCACAACCUUUAUCAACUAAAUCAACACCUUCGCAUUUUGAUGAUACACCACAAGUUCAACCGACAGCACGACCAACACCUUCAAGUCAGGCUGCAGCAAAUUCGAUUCUGUCAGAUCAGACAACAACAUUGCAGGUUCCAUCUGUCCGGGCCGCGUCACAACAACCACUAUCUAGAAAGCGUAGUGGACGUGUGUCUACGCAACAUUGGACUGUAGAUGCAAUAGAUUCACAAGGAGCUAGCAAGAUACUUAAAGUGAAGAAAAGGGACAUGUUAAAUUUAUCUAAUGGAGAACGUAUUGUGGUUGAUUUUGACGACAUGGAUUCUCCCAUUGGUGAAGGACAAGGCGUUCUUGUAGGAUUUUGUGGAAUUUUAGCAACUAACUGCUCCAUUUUUCCAAUUCACUUUGAGAAAUGACCGGAUUUACCUAUGACAAUCUUCAAUCGUUGUUAUGAUCGAUUUAUAAAGCCACGAUUUUGUUUUCGGACAACUGAGUCAAAUGCAAGACGAUAUGUUUAUAAUUCUAUGUGUAAGAAGUGGGGCGCAAAAAGGCCAAAGUUGUUUGAUAAGGUUUAUGAUCCACUUAAGAGCAGAGCUGAGAUAAUGGAUAGCGUUCCACUGGGAAUUCCACCGGAUCAAUGGAUUUCUUUUGUUGAUUACCGCUUUAAAGAAAAGACACAGGAAAUUUGUAAAAGAAAUGCUGAAAUUCGAAAGAAACAAAUUGUUUCACAUAUCGGUGGCUCCAAACCUUACUCCAGAAGAAGGGCUGAAAUGAUGGCUCAGACUGGACAAAAUCCUGGACGAGGACAGCUUUAUCUCGUUACACAUAGGAAUGGAGAUGGAUCAUAUGUUAAUGAGGCAGCAAAAGAGAUAUGUGAAAAAAUUGAACUAGGAUUGAGCUAAAGCACCGUGGAUGAGUCUGAAAUUUUGCCAAAUGAUGCCGUUAGUAAGGUGCUGGAAAAAGAGCACUCUGGAAGGGUAAGGUGCUUGGGAUUAGGAGUUGUUCCUGGGAGAGCUUUUAGACAAACAAGACCUCGUUAUGGUGAUUUGAAUACUUCAACUUAUAAUAAUGGUUCAUGUUCUUCCCAAUGCCAAGAGAAGUACAAUCAAAUGUUGAAUGCUCCCAAUCAAAGCCAAGAGAACUACAGAGAAAUGAUGAAUGUUAACACCCAAAUGAUGAAUGCUAACACCCAAAUGAUAAAUGCUUUUAAGGCGUAUAUGAUAAUGAAAGAAGGGAGGAUACCUGAAGAAUUUGCAGGGAUCUUUGUUUCUCCUCCUCAUUCAACACCAGGUGAUGCGGCUAGCGGAUCCAUUUUACCCAUGGAUGUAAGAAGUAAUCCUAAUGACAACCAUUGAAGUUGCUUGCAAAUGUAUCGUACUCGAUUGAAUGGUCAUAGGAGAUAAUAGUUGGAGUAGAUGUUCUGUUUAAAGUUAGUUUUAAGACUAACUAUAAUACUGAUGUUUUGUGUUUAAUGGAUGUAGUAGUUGUGUUUAAAACAAGUUUUUGAGACUAGUGAUAGUCUACUUUAAUGUAUUUUAUGGUUUAUUAAUAUAUUGAUGUUAAUUACUUGA